RNAcentral lists this ribosomal RNA (596 nucleotides) under Lodderomyces parapsilosis. RNAcentral describes it as "Candida parapsilosis partial large subunit ribosomal RNA". It matches the Rfam family "Eukaryotic large subunit ribosomal RNA", at positions 44 to 656 of the family's 3401-position model. Lineage: Eukaryota; Fungi; Ascomycota; Pichiomycetes; Serinales; Debaryomycetaceae. The record is from RNAcentral.
CCAAAAGCGGAGGAAAAGAAACCAACAGGGAUUGCCUUAGUAGCGGCGAGUGAAGCGGCAAAAGCUCAAAUUUGAAAUCUGGCACUUUCAGUGUCCGAGUUGUAAUUUGAAGAAGGUAUCUUUGGGUCUGGCUCUUGUCUAUGUUUCUUGGAACAGAACGUCACAGAGGGUGAGAAUCCCGUGCGAUGAGAUGUCCCAGACCUAUGUAAAGUUCCUUCGAAGAGUCGAGUUGUUUGGGAAUGCAGCUCUAAGUGGGUGGUAAAUUCCAUCUAAAGCUAAAUAUUGGCGAGAGACCGAUAGCGAACAAGUACAGUGAUGGAAAGAUGAAAAGAACUUUGAAAAGAGAGUGAAAAAGUACGUGAAAUUGUUGAAAGGGAAGGGCUUGAGAUCAGACUUGGUAUUUUGUAUGUUACUCUCUCGGGGGUGGCCUCUACAGUUUACCGGGCCAGCAUCAGUUUGAGCGGUAGGAUAAGUGCAAAGAAAUGUGGCACUGCUUCGGUAGUGUGUUAUAGUCUUUGUCGAUACUGCCAGCUUAGACUGAGGACUGCGGCUUCGGCCUAGGAUGUUGGCAUAAUGAUCUUAAGUCGCCCGUCUUG